GACGAACCACCCAAACGUUAUUCGGAAUUACUGGGCUUAAAGGGUGCGUAGGCGGCGUGGAAAGUUGGGUGUGAAAUCCCUCGGCUCAACCGAGGAACUGCGCUCAAAACUACCGUGCUCGAGGAAGACAGAGGUAAGCGGAACUUCGGGUGGAGCGGUGAAAUGCGUUGAUAUCCGAAGGAACACCGGUGGCGAAAGCGGCUUACUGGGUCUUUUCUGACGCUGAUGCACGAAAGCCAGGGGAGCAAACGGGAUUAGAUACCCCGGUAGUCCUGGCCGUAAACGAUGAGCACUUGGUUGGAGACUCCUCCAUAGGUUUCCGGCCGUAGCGAAAGUGUUAAGUGCUCCGCCUGGGGAGUAUGGCCGCAAGGCUGAA
This 376-nucleotide ribosomal RNA is filed under the name uncultured bacterium. RNAcentral describes it as "bacterial SSU rRNA". It matches the Rfam family "Bacterial small subunit ribosomal RNA", at positions 524 to 898 of the family's 1533-position model. The record is from RNAcentral.